CCGGGACCCUCUUCCCCCCCUCCCCGAGACCCAUCUCCGCCUCCCUCUUCCCUCCCUCCCCGAGACGCCCAUUCGUAAACCCACCCACACCCUCGCGUUGCCAUGUCUGUUUCGCCCUAAAAUUGUGGUGAUUGAAAAGUGUAAUUUCUGGUGGGAGAUCUGCAGCCACGGACGAAGGUAUUGACUCCCAUUCAAUCUUCGUGAGAUUUUUUGUGUUAUGUGGAUUUUGCAUGUUAUGGAGUUUUCAGCUUUAAAGUGUGUGCUGGUUCAAUUAGAUAAACAUUUGAUGUAAGCUUCCAUCACGUAGUCAUACUCGUUAAUUUCAAUCUCACUUAAGUUAUGGUGUCAUGUAGGCUGAGUAGUGAAAAUUCAAAGUAAGAGUUUUGAUUGCAUAAAAAAUAUGUUGUGUAACCGAGUCUAUGAAAGUCAUGCAUGUAAAUUGACCUGUAAUUAGUCCAAGGUAAUUCAGUUGAAAUGAGAAUAAAUUUCUAUGAUAGAAUUUUCCAGAGUUGACUCACUGUUGGAAGGAGUUGAAAUUUGUUAAUGGUAUGGCUAGGGGUAUGGUGAUCAGUUCAUAACUUGUGCAUGAUUAUAUUUCUAUGAUUAUAAUCAUUGAGGCGUGAUUAGGGAUUACAAUGUAUUCCCUUACUGUAUAAGGAAAGAGGCAAGUUUGUCAAUCUUCAAACAUUUUCGUUGAAAAUGAAUACCUAUUAGUUGGAAAGAAAUAAUGCUAUUGAAAAUCAUAGGGGGAAAAAUUCUGGACAAUAUUUGGAAAGAAAUACAUUUUUCUCACAUGCAGUUGUCUACCAUUUUUAUGCACACGUGAUAAGGAUUUUACUAUGUAUUUAAAUUUGUGGUUCUAUUAUUUACAUUCCGAUCAGUAGGCUCUAUCGCUAUGUAUUCAAUGCUGUAAAUGACACAUAUAUAUCGUUGACGUGCUGCUACAUUAUUCAGAAUCACGCAUGGCAUCAUCCCAAUCAUCAUGUUUAUCUAAUGAUGAUUGGGUGGAAUCACCAACUUGUUGGUGUGGCUUGAAAACAUCAGUUAAGACAUCCCACACUAAGUCUAAUCCUGGAAGGAGAUUUUAUGCCUGCCCAAAGUAUGAUAUGGGAGAUGUGAGGUGUGAAUUCUUCGUCUGGACAGAUAUAUUUUAUUUGCUAGAUCAGAAUAUUCGUAACAGAGAAAAUAAAGUUUGGAAGAUGUGGGAUGACGUGCUGCUUCGAGAGUGCGAAGUUCGUUUAAGGGAAGACAAAGUAAGAGAGAGAGAGAGAACACUUGAAAAAAAACGAAGGAAAUUAUUGUGUUUGUAUUGGGCUCUCACAAUUGUAAUACUAUUUGCUUGGUUUGGAUAAUGCCUUGUAUGUAUUCAAAGACACGUUGUAUGGAGUACAUCAUUUUGAAUUGGUUCUAAUGUAAUCGUACUCCCUAUGUUUUGGUUAUGAUGUACAAAAAGGGGAUUUCUAGGUUGUGAAAAUUUAUCAUGUGCUUCAAUGAAGUUCCAAGUGUGACAA
Long non-coding RNA from Carya illinoinensis, 1511 nucleotides. RefSeq lists it as uncharacterized. Lineage: Eukaryota; Viridiplantae; Streptophyta; Magnoliopsida; Fagales; Juglandaceae. The record is from RefSeq and is a predicted model, not a curated record. The transcript is spliced from 2 exons.